Molecule: unclassified non-coding RNA, 101 nt
Filed under: uncultured bacterium
Lineage: Bacteria
Source: RNAcentral
ACAGAAGACAGAAGACGGAGCGGCGUGCGGCAGCACGCCUGUGUGAUCGGUAAUCAGAUAACUGAAUGCCGACCACCGCUCAGUCCUCAGUCCUCUGUCCA